This is an RNA transcript of Cebus imitator (Panamanian white-faced capuchin), 1475 nucleotides long. It is a transcript of the gene named saoe class I histocompatibility antigen, A alpha chain-like, with no coding region annotated. The record is from RefSeq and is a predicted model, not a curated record. NCBI's taxonomy places the organism in Eukaryota, Metazoa, Chordata, Mammalia, Primates, Cebidae. The transcript has 2 exons.
CUAGACGCCGAGGGUGGGGUCAUGGCGCCCCGAACCCUCCUCCUGCUGCUCUCGGGGUCCCUGGCCCUGGCCCAGACCCGGGCGGGCUCCCACCCGGUAUUUCCAGAGCGGCGUGUCCGGCCCGGCCGCGGGGAGCCCCUCUUCAUCGAAGUCGGCCACGGGGACCACACGCAGUUCGUGCGGAUUGCGAGGACGGAGCCGCGGGCGCGGUGCGUGGAGCAGGAGGGGCCGGAGGACCGGGACCGCCACGCGCGGAACUCCAAGGCCUCCGCACAGACUCAGCGGGCGAGCUGCAGAACCAGAGCGGGGCAGGGUCUCACACCUGCCAGAGGGUGUGCAGCUGCCACCCGGGGCCACACGGGCGCCUCCUCCGCGGUGUAACCCGUUCGCCUACGACGGCCACGGUUACCUCGCCCUGGACGAGGACCUGCGCUCCUGGACCGCCGCGGACAUCGCCCAGCGCAAGCGGGAGGCGGCCAAUGAGGCGGAGAAAGGAGAGGCUACCUGGAGGGCAGGUGCGUGGAGUGGCUCCGCAGGUACCUGGACGACGGGAAGGAGACGCGGCAGCGCGCGGAGCCCCCCAAGACACAAGUGACCCACCACCCCAUCUCUGACCACGAGGCCACCCUGAGGCGCUGGGCCCUUGGCUUCUACCCUGCGGAGAUCACACUGACCUGGCAGCGGGAUGGGGAGGACCGGACCCAGGACAUGGAGCUCGUGGAGACCCGGCCGGCAGGGGACAGAACCUUCCAGAAGUGGGCUGCUGUGGUGGUGCCUUAGGGAGAGGAGCAGAGAUCCACGUGCCUAUAUGCAGAAAAUGAGGGGCUGCCAGAGACCCUCACCCUGAGAUGGGAGCCGUCUUCCCAGCCCACCAUCCUCAUCCUGGGCAUCGCUGCUGGCCUGGUUGUCCUUGGAGCUGUAGUCUCUGGAGCUGUGGUCGCUGCUCUGAUGUGGAGGAAUAAGAGUUCAGAUAAGAAGGGAGUAAGCUACUCUCAGGCUGCAGGCAGUGACAGAGCCCAGGGCUCUGAUGUGUCUCUCACGGCUUGUAAAGUGUGAGACAGCUGCCUUGUGUGGGACUGAGAGGCAAGAUUGGUCUAACACCUUCCGCUCGUGACUUCAAGAACCCUGACUUCUCUUACUGCAAAGGCAUCUGAAUGUGUCUGUAUCCCUACAGGCCUAGUGUGAGGAGGUGGGGAGACAGCCCAGCCCCUUGUCCACCAUGACCCCUUCCCCACGCUGACCUGCAUUCCUUCCCCGGUCACCUUUCCUGUUCUAGAGACGUGGGGCUGAGAUGUCUCCAUCUCUGUCUCAACUUUAUGGUGUACCGAGCUAUAACUUCUUAUUUUCCUAUUAACAUUAGAAUCUGAAUAUAAUUUACUUUUUCAAAAUAUUUCUAUGAGACAUUUAUGGGUUAAUUAAAAGAGAAAAUUCCUGAAAUUUGAGAGAAAAAAUAAAUGGAAGAUCUGAGAACCUUC